Molecule: small nucleolar RNA, 157 nt
Filed under: Carlito syrichta (Philippine tarsier)
Lineage: Eukaryota; Metazoa; Chordata; Mammalia; Primates; Tarsiidae
Description: Small nucleolar RNA SNORA81 (ENSTSYG00000030394.1)
Rfam family: Small nucleolar RNA SNORA81
Source: Rfam by way of RNAcentral
GCCAAAAUGAACUUACACAUAGCUGAAGCUUAGAAACAAUGUUGAUGCUAGCAGAGUACACACAAGAAGAAAAGUAACCGCACUAGACUGUAAAGACUGGGGUGGACCUCUUUCUUAAUGUCCAGUGUCCUUUGUCUUAAGAUUUAGUGCAAUAUUU